Molecule: long non-coding RNA, 2059 nt
Organism: Oncorhynchus keta (chum salmon)
Lineage: Eukaryota; Metazoa; Chordata; Actinopteri; Salmoniformes; Salmonidae
Exons: 8
Source: RefSeq, a predicted model, not a curated record
GUUAGAGUGUAGAGGUGGCAGGUAGCCUAGUGGUUAGAGUGUAGAGGUGGCAGGGUAGCCUAGUGGUUAGAGUGUAGAGGUGGCAGGUAGCCUAGUGGUUAGAGUGUAGAGGUGGCAGGUAGCCUAGUGGUUAGAGUGUAGAGGUGGCAGGUAGCCUAGUGGUUAGAGUGUAGGGACGGCAGGUAGCCUAGUGGUUAGAGUGUAGGGACGGCAGGUAGCCUAGUGGUUAGAGUGUAGGGACGGCAGGUAGCCUAGUGGUUAGAGUGUAGAGGAGGCAGGUAGUCUAGUGGUUAGAGUGUAGAGGUGGCAGGUAGCCUAGUGGUUAGAGUGUAGAGGUGGCAGGUAGCCUAGUGGUUAGAGUGUAGAGGAGGCAGGUAGCCUAGUGGUUAGAGUGUAGAGGUGGCAGGUAGCCUAGUGGUUAGAGUGUAGAGGUGGCAGGUAGCCUAGUGGUUAGAGUGUAGAGGAGGCAGGUAGCCUAGUGGUUAGAGUGUAGAGGUGGCAGGUAGCCUAGUGGUUAGAGUGUAGAGGAGGCAGGUAGCCUAGUGGUUAGAGUGUAGAGGUGGCAGGUAGCCUAGUGGUUAGAGUGUAGAGGUGGCAGGUAGCCUAGUGGUUAGAGUGUAGAGGAGGCAGGUAGCCUAGUGGUUAGAGUGUAGAGGUGGCAGGUAGCCUCGUGGUUAGAGUGUAGAGGUGGCAGGUAGCCUAGUGGUUAGAGUGUAGAGGAGGCAGGUAGUCUAGUGGUUAGAGUGUAGAGGUGGCAGGUAGCCUAGUGGUUAGAGUGUAGAGGUGGCAGGUAGCCUCGUGGUUAGAGUGUAGAGGUGGCAGGUAGCCUAGUGGUUAGAGUGUAGAGGAGGCAGGUAGUCUAGUGGUUAGAGUGUAGAGGUGGCAGGUAGCCUCGUGGUUAGAGUGUAGGGACGGCAGGUAGCCUGGUGGUUAGAGUGUAGAGGUGGCAGGUAGCCUAGUGGUUAGAGUGUAGAGGCGGCAGGUAGCCUAGUGGUUAGAGUGUAGAGGUGGCAGGUAGCCUAGUGGUUAGAGUGUAGAGGCGGCAGGUAGCCUAGUGGUUAGAGUGUAGGGACGGCAGGUAGCCUAGUGGUUAGAGUGUAGGGACGGCAGGUAGCCUAGUGGUUAGAGUGUAGAGGAGGCAGGUAGUCUAGUGGUUAGAGUGUAGAGGUGGCAGGUAGCCUAGUGGUUAGAGUGUAGAGGUGGCAGGUAGCCUCGUGGUUAGAGUGUAGAGGUGGCAGGUAGCCUAGUGGUUAGAGUGUGGAGGAGGCAGGUAGUCUAGUGGUUAGAGUGUAGAGGUGGCAGGUAGCCUAGUGGUUAGAGUGUAGAGGUGGCAGGUAGCCUAGUGGUUAGAGUAUAGAGGAGGCAGGUAGCCUAGUGGUUAGAGUGUAGAGGUGGCAGGUAGCCUAGUGGUUAGAGUGUAGAGGUGGCAGGUAGCCUAGUGGUUAGAGUGUAGAGGAGGCAGGUAGUCUAGUGGUUAGAGUGUAGAGGAGGCAGGUAGCCUAGUGGUUAGAGUGUAGAGGUGGCAGGUAGCCUAGUGGUUAGAGUGUAGAGGUGGCAGGUAGCCUCGUGGUUAGAGUGUAGAGGUGGCAGGUAGCCUAGUGGUUAGAGUGUAGAGGAGGCAGGUAGUCUAGUGGUUAGAGUGUAGAGGUGGCAGGUAGCCUCGUGGUUAGAGUGUAGGGACGGCAGGUAGCCUGGUGGUUAGAGUGUAGAGGUGGCAGGUAGCCUGGUCGUUAGAGUGUAGAGGUGGCAGGUAGCCUGGUGGUUAGAGUGUAGAGGUGGCAGGUAGCCUAGUGGUUAGAGUGUAGAGGUGGCAGGUAGCCUAGUGGUUAGAGUGUAGAGGUGGCAGGUAGCCUAGUGGUUAGAGUGUAGAGGUGGCAGGUAGCCUAGUGGUUAGAGUGUAGGGGCGGCAGGUAGCCUAGUGGUUAGAGUGUAGAGGUGGCAGGUAGCCUAGUGGUUAUAGUGUAGGGGCGGCAGGUAGCCUAGUGGUUAUAGUGUAGAGGUGGCAGGUAGCCUAGUGGUUAGAGCGUUAGACUAGUAACUGAAAGGUUGCAAGAUCAAA